UUUUCGCUCCAUGGACAAGUUUCUUGGAGUACGUCUUGUUGUCCUUGAAAACAAUAGACGCUGAAGCCAGAGCAGCUGCCAUCUCUGCUGCAAGGUCUGAGCAACUAUGACAUUCAGUUACAGGUCGAUGGUAAUCAAUGUCCUCAGGGCGCAUCCAACAAUAAUGGUCAUUACGAAUAUGUCCUUCACUGGUGUCUCCAACUCCCACCUGUUAUACAUAUUAAUAAUAAAUGCUGAAUAAAUAUACUAACUACUAAAGAACUUCUUCUUUUUUGUGUGUUGGACUGCCAUGGAAGGCAAAUUUUUUGCUAAGGAAGGCGAUUUUAGAUGUGAACAACUAAAAUUUUUGCAAGUGUGAAUAUCUGGUAAGUAAAAAAUUCCUAGGUAUCUAUCUGAGUGAAACAACCAGAAAGAUGGAGAAAAUUUACCUGCAUCACAACGCGAUCUAUGGUGUCAGCAGAAGAAUUAAAAGUUUUUAGAAGAUAAUCAGUUCCCCACUUAAUGAUGUCUUUAAUAUGGUUAAGCUCCCCUGCAGCUUCAUAUUUGGCACUGUACUCGAUCACACUCCAACUCAACAUGGUCAUGGCAAAAGAUUGUGGAAAAUUGAAUUUGAUUGCAUCACCAGAAUCAUAAUAACCCCCAACCAAAUUGUUGCCUUUGAAUGAAGGAUCAUCUAUCCCGUCGUUCAAACCAGAGUCUUCUCUCCAAGCAACAUUAUUGUCCUCCGGAAGUUUUCCAGCUGCAAACAUCCCACAUAAAGCAGUGUUCUUAUUCUAUUUUGUAUAGCCCUCUUUCUCUUCACGAUUAAGUUAGAGUUCAAUGUUUAUCAAAGCAAAUCGCGUGUUGAGUAUUUCUUAAUAUUGACUCUAUAACUUAUUAAAUUUAAAUUUGGUAGCAUUUCCUCUGUCCCAUUAUAACAGUACCUCGACUUGUAGAUUAUUUGGUUAUGCCUAUGAUUAGCCGUGGACUAAUUAAGCAAAUCCGCCUAAAAGUCAUAAUAAUUGAAACAUCAAUGCAAUUCAAGAACACAACAAAAACUUAAAUGACUUACAUUUCUGUGCAUUGAAGAACAAGAGUGCUUUGCUCAAAGCAAUCGUGUAAUUGUAUUCCAAUGUAGAUGUAGAACGAUCAAAAGGACGUGUAUCAUUAUCCAGCACUGGAGGACGAUGAUGCUGAUGUGGCAAAAACUUGACAAGAAGAAUGAUGAAGGCAGCAAUAAGACCAAGAGCAAUGAUAGUGCCAAUAGUCCAAAUAAUGAACUUUCUACUCACCCAACUCUGUGUUCCGGGACCAGAAUCAGCCGGAAUCUGUGGAACUCCAUCACAUGCAUUUGUUACAUGCAUGAUCAAAGAGUUCUCAGAUAUCUGUGUGCUUGCAAUUAAGACUGCAAGUUGAUGGGAUAUAUAGACAAAAAAUGUCAGACUGUUAGGAAUAUUGUGAGUUGGAGAAGACUUUGAUAUACAGGCAAUAAUGUAAAGAGAGUCUGACUUUGGAAAAAAUAUAUAUGCACAGGCAAGUAAAAUUUGAGAUUCAAUUAGUAAACGCUGGUGUUUAAUUUGUUAUUUUCUCGCUCAUGAAUGACAAUUUGUGCAGGCAAAUGAAAAUUUAAGAUCUAAAAUAUAUUCUUUAACUCUACCAAGGGCAAACAAGAAAGAAAGAAGAAACACAGGUACUUGAGUAAUCACAUUUGUUCAGACUUUACAGUGCAAGGAGUCACCGCGGAACUAGGCGAAGGCUAAACCUGGCUGAAAACUCGGUUGAGUUGGAAAAUUCCUUAUAAUCAGUUAUGUUUUGUUCCUUGAAAAUUAGCAGAUUUUCUCGUUUAAGCCCUGUCUGAUUCCAAGUAUUCACUGGAAAGAUUGUUAAAUUUCCAGUCACACCGCCGGAGUGGUACAUAAUGGUACAAUACAUACUUGUUAUUUUCCUACAUACAAUUUUCAUGUCACUACUGCCAACAAACUUAAAAGGGUAAAUGCAGGCAACCAUGAGUCGGGCAUUAACAAAAAGAACAAAUGAUUAUGGUGAUUAUUAAGAAAGUUUCAGCGUUUCAAAGCAGCUGGUGGUGGUGGUGGGAGCGGAAACAUAGGUGUAACUGCAGAGAACAUGGUGUUCUUGUCAAUCUGCGUAUUUUUACCAGCUGACAAAGCCACAAGGGCUGCGACUAAACCAGCAUUGCCUGCAAUAGUUGGUUCUGUGUAAUUAUAGUUUGUACGCUUAUCAUGGAAACCAUCAUGCCUGUCAGGGCCAGCAACCAUAGCCCCAACAAUAGUAUUAGGAUUUGGCUUUGAGCUGUCCCUCCAUUUCCAUCCUCCUUUGCAACUGUAUUUGACCUUGUUGUUAGGAAUGGACGCACCUCUGUGGUGGACUUGUUUCGGAUAGUGACUUCCAAAUCCCACUAGAUAACUCAUCUUUCUUGGAUUUUUACCAAGAACAUAGUCAAUCUGCCAAAACCAAAGAAAGAACUUAAGCUAUCUGUUAUGAUUUCCUAAGACAACUAUGUGGAAGUAUUUUGGAAAGAGAAGAAGACAUGCAGGUCUUAUUGUAAUGGACAGCAACUCUAACAUACCUGAGUCUUGGCAAAUGUUCGCAGGACACUAAUUGGGUAGAAAUUUGGUCCACAGUACCAUCCAGGUGUAUCCGUAGCAUCAAGAUAGUCGCCAAAUAGUGUAGCCAAGAAAGCAGCAUUGACAACGAAUUGAAGAGGCUGCGGUUUUCCAUUAUUCAACUGAAUCAAGCCUCCUGCAAUGUUGCCAAAAAAUAUUGAGUGCCUCUAAUGUUGCAGAGGGGAACAGUAGAUAGCGUAUGUAAGUUCAAUUGAAAAUUGGUAUGGAUGAUGAAGCAAAGUCAGUAUACCGUGUGUUCUGUUGAAGCGCUUAAAGGAUGGAAGAAAUGAGCACAUGUACAUGCAGGUCUGAUUGUGAAAUGUCCUUAGACCUUCUUCAAAGGGAUACCCAGGGGCCAAGAACAAUCUCAGACGUGUUAAAAGAAGCUGCGAGAAGAAAACAAACAUCAGUUGCAUAAAAAUAAUGAGCAAAAGAAUGAUAAUAGUUCUGCAUAUGAGAGAACCAAGAUGUUAUGCAGAUAUGCAGACAUUAAUAAACUUUAUACUGUCGACAGAAAAGACAAUCUAAAAGAUUUAAUUAAAGUCAACAAAAAAUACCAAAGGGUCUUUCUUGAAAGUAGAAUCUGGGGACGAUACUUGAAAAAAUAAAAAAUAUCAUCAACUAUGCAGCAAUUGAAAAUUUUAUCAGUUGGUACUCAAACUUACUUGAGCACCUGGAAGUUUGUUAUCCCAACUAAGUACACCAGAACCAGGACCUUCCCGGAAAGCACCAGCAUGUGCGGCCAUUUUCAUAUUAGUGGCAAGGGAAAGAUAAGAACUAUUUCCUGUAGCGUAAUACAUCCAAGCUCCUCCCCACACAAACUCAUCCCAAUAACUACUGGAGUCAUAGAAUACUGCAGCUUCUGUUCCUGUGCUAUACUUGCCACGCUGAUGCCUGGAGAACUUAAAGAGGGCUUUAGCUCCAUGGACAAGUUUCCGAGAGUAAGCCUUGUUAUCCUUGAAAACAAUUGAUGCUGCAGCUAGAGCAGCUGCCAUCUCUGCAGCAAGGUCUGAGCACCUAUGACAUUCUGCUACAGGCUGUUCAUAGUUAAUGUCUUCAGGACGCAUCCAACAGUAGUGAUCAUUAGGAAUUGACCCUCCAGCGGUAUCCCCACUUCCCACCUGUCAUUUAGACAAAAAACCAGCAGUAUGAAUUCCUGACUGAAGCACUGACAAUAAAGGAAGAUCUAAUUGUUAAGUUGUCCGAGAUAUUGCGAGCGAACUAGUUCACUAUAUGCAUCAUGAUACCUUCUAUUAUUACGGAUGCAUGAUAAUUAGCGAUGCUUCCAAUUAGCUAGUUCACCAUAUGCAUGAUAACAAUGUUCCUGUGAAUGUCUGAUAUAAAACACUAGCGACACAGCCACUAGAAAAUUUAUAACUAAAUUUGAUUUGCGGGUAAGUAAAUAUUAGAUGAUUAGUGUGAGAAUGAAAACUCAUCUGCUGAGAUUUUUUCUAAAUAUUCUUAACUCUUAAGGAUCUUGUUCAGAAAUUCCUCUAACAACACGUAUUUAACCAUCAUAGUAAAUACAAUUAGAAAGAUUGAGAAUGAAAACUCAUCUGCUGAGAUUUUUUCUAUAUAUUCCUAACUCUUAAGGAUCUUGUUCAGAAAUUCCUCUAACAACACGUAUUUAACCAUCAUAGAGAAUAUAACUAGACGCCAUGUACCUGAAUGACAAGGCGAUCUAUGGUAUCAGCAGACGAGUUAAAAGUUUUCAGAAGAUAAUCAGUUCCCCAUUUAAUGACAUCUUUGAUAUGGUUAAGCUCCCCAGCAGCUUCAUAUUUUGCACUGUACUCGAUCACACUCCAACUCAACAUGGUCAUUGCAAAAGAUUGAGGAAAAUUGAAUUUGAUUGCAUCACCGGCAUCAUAAUAACCACCAACCAAAUCUCUGCCUAUAGAUGAAGGAUCAGAUUUUCCAUCAUCUAAACCAGAGUUUCCCCUCCAGGAAACAUUAGUGUUUUUUGGAAGUUUUCCAGCUGCAAACAUCCCACAUAAAACUUGAAAUCAUGCACAAAGAAUUCUGUGCAGGUAUAUUAUAAUUAUGCCACAAACAAGGUACGGACGUACGGUCGAUCUACAAAUAUUAACCUAAUAUUCACAUAAAAAUAUACAGUCCAAGAACACAGUAAAGUAUUAACCUAAUAUUCACAUAAAAAUAUAUAGUCCAAGAACACAGUAAAGUUGAGGGCACUUACAUUUCUGUGCAUUGAAGAACAUAAGUGCUUUGCUUAAAGCAAUCGUGUAUUUAUUCGACUGCAGCAUAGCGCGGUCCAAAGCAAGAGUGACAUUAUCUGGCAGCGACUGAGGACGGUGGUGAUGAUGUGGCAAAGUCUUAAUAAGAAGAAUGAUAAAACCAACAAUUAAACCAGCAGCUAAAACAAUGCCAAUUGUCCAUAUGAAAUACUUCCUGCUCGAACAACUCUGAGAUUUGUCAUCCAAAGGCGGAGACAUCACCACCGGAUCAAUGUAGCUCUGAUCUUUAAUUGUAUCAGAACCCACCAGAAUUUGUAGUUCCCCAUCAGAUGCAAGUCUAAUUUGCAUUACUAAACACUUACAGAUCCAAAAAAAAAACAGAACUCCCUAUGAAAUGAAUGCGCGUUUAUCAUGGGAAUAUUUACUUCAAUGUUAAGUUACUGGAGGAAUUUCUUAACAAAAACCGCGAGAAGUCUAAAGGAAGCCCAGAGGCAUGGUGAUCUUAAUUAAUGUGUCAGUCAGUCUGGUGGAAAUAAAGAAUGUGCAAGUGCUACUAUAUUACAUUGGGAGACUUUCAUAAAAGCCAAUAAUGUGAGAAACAUUGUAAGUUGCAGAAUACUGUAAGGAAGAGCUGUAUAUUGGAAUUUGACUUUCUGCAGAAAAAUAUUAAGGUAAAUAUUCAUUAAAAAUAUAAUUUCUAUAAUCAAGAAUGGAUAGUAUUUGACUAAUAAGACUGAUUAGAAGAGGCCUAAUAUAAUACUUGCCCUGAAGAAACAUAACUACAUUCAAUGUCUCACGGAUGACCUUUUCGUCUAAUGGCAUCUCCUUCGCUCCCUUUAAGGCAUGCUGAGGGUUUGAAUGUUGCUAAUGAUAAAAUGGGUGUGUGUAGUUAUAAAAAAAAUAUCAAUGUCUUCAGCAAAUGAGUUGAUAUAAGAAAGAUGCAACUAUAACUCUAUAAGGUUUUCAGACACUAAUCAAAAAUAAGUUUCAUCCUUGAGAAUCUGGUUCCAACAUCAACCGCAUGUUAUGUAAAAAAAACUAUUUCUCCUCGCGAAUUUACAUCAACUGUCACGGUGUCACCCUCUUUCACAUCACCGGACAAAAUUCUAUCACCCAAACUAUCUUCCAAAAUUCUAGUAAUGGCCCUCCUCAACGGUCUUGCUCCAUAGCUUGGAGAGUAGCCCUCUUCAAGCACCAUAUCACGAACUUUAUUCUCUAUUUUAACGAUAAUAUCCUUCCUUUCCCAUACCUUUUCUUUAAACUCUUUCAGCAUCAGCUGAACAAUUUUUUUCAGACGUUUCUUUGUGAGUUGCUUAAAAACGAUAAUGUCAUCAAGCCUAUUCAAGAACUCUGGCCUAAAUUUUUGCUUUAAUAAUUCAGAAACCUCGUGUUUCACUUGCUCAUACUUACCAUUUAAUUGACCUCCGAUAUUAGAAGUAAGUAUGAUAAUUGUGUUCUUGAAGUCUACAAGGCAGCCUUUACCAUCAGUUAGCCUGCCAUCAUCUAAUAUCUGGAGCAUUGCGUUAAAUACAUCUGGGUGAGCCUUCUCAAUCUCAUCAAAAAGUACCAAAUUAUGCGGCCUUCUUUUCACAGCUUCUGUUAGCUGCCCGCCAUCAUGGUGUCCUACAUACCCUGGAGGCGCUCCAAUUAGUUUAGACACGUCAUGCUUUGCCAUGUACUCACUCAUGUCAAAUCUUACCAAUGCUUCUUUCGACCCAAAAUACUCUUUUGAAACUAAUUUAGCUAGCUCUGUUUUGCCUACUCCAGUAGGUCCAGUGAACAAAAAGCUUGCAAUGGGACGAUUUAGGUCCCUGAUUCCAACUUUGGCUCUGCGUAUAGCUCGGCUAACAGAUACAACUGCUUUUUUCUGUCCGAUCACUUGGGUUUGGAGAGUUUUUUCCAUGUUAAGGAGCUUCAAUGCUUCUUCCUGUGAUAUUUUUUCAACUGGAAUACCAGUCCACGACGAUAACACAUGCUGUAUAUCCAACUCAGUCACACACAUUUUCUUAGGCUUGGGAUGCAGAUUAACCUUUAGAUGCGACUUCUUAUUCGUUUUAACCUCUGAACGCGACUUCUUAUGCCUUUUAACCUGAACCACAUUCUCAUUAUUGUCUACUUGCUUCCUCUUCAGAUUCACCCUCGCGCCUGCUUCAUCAAUUAAGUCUAUUGCCUUUUCAGGCAGAAAUCGGUCACUGCAUAGUGUGUCACAUUUUUAUUCACGUCGAGUUAAAAAAAAUGGAUGAAAUGUGAGAUAUACAAAGAUGAAUUGUUACCAAAUGUUAAAUAAACAACCUGACAUAUUGUUUUGCCAAGGAGGAAGCGCAGUGAACGGCUUUGUCAGUGUAUUGAACAUUAUGAAAAGUUUCAUAUCUUUUUAACAGCCCUUUGAGUAUCAAAACCGUGUCCUGCACAGAUGGUUCAGGCACAUCAACAACUUGAAAAUGUCGUUUUAAUGCCCCGUCUUUUUCAAUGUACUUCCUGCAUUCUGCCGCGGUUGUUGCUCCGAUGCACUGUGACCAUACCAAAAGUCACAUAGUUUUUCUUAGAAAAUUCAUAACUAAAAAUAUUUUUUAAGAAACAGAAUUACCUUUAACUCGCCCCUAGCUGGUGCUAGUUUUAUAAUGUUGGAUGCAUGAAGCUGGUAGCCAUUAUUAAUUAUUGUAUGUAAUUCAUCAAUAAACAGCAAAAUUUUCCCUUUACUUAAUUUCACUUCAACCAGAACUUUAUUCAGCCUCUGGACGAUUUCACCUUGCCAUGUCGUGCCAGCUUUUAAUCGAGCCAUUUCUAUGGAGAAUACCUGACAGAUGCAACAUUGAAUACAGAGUCUCGCAAGAUAUCUAUCAUGCAAAUUUACAAAACAAUUGUCAUACCUUUGUUCCUUGGAGUUUUAAUGGCACAGUUCCGUUAACAAUUCUUGAUGCCAGGCCUUCAACAAUGACGGUUUUACCAACCCCGGGAUUGCCAGUGAGGCACACAUUAUUGUUUCCGCGCUUGCAUAAUAUUUGCAUGACACGUUCAAUCUCAUCAGUCCUUCCUAUGACCGGAUCCAAUUUAUUCUGAAAAAAUGAUAGUAAAUUACUUGCUUUCAUGCCCAGACCCAAUGUAAACAAAUAAGUGGGACAGAGAGACUAUUACUUAAGAAAUUAAAAUAUACAACCUGCUUAGCCAACUCGGUUAGGUCUGUCCCAUACUUGUUCAGUUCUGUAAGCUUCCGAUACAGCUUCUCCAUUGCCUCUAUAUAUUUUACUCAGAUAUCUGCCAAGUUUAAGUGUAAAGAUUACAUUAAUAUUUUAUUAUCGUUCGUAUUUUUGCAAAUUUAGAUUUAUAAUUUUUAGGGGUCCAACGUUUAAUGAAUCCGAAAUAGUUAUAAUUUCAUAUUAUUAAUUUUUCAAGAAGACAGUCCUGCCCUCUUUGACUUUACAAAAUAGGCUUAGACGAUUUAUAGAUUGUAUUCAUUUGGGAUGUUAAAGAUUUUUUUAUUCAUGUAAUCCGAGGAUAUUCAACUCGGAUUUUAAGAAAUUAUCAGAAUCUUGGGGUAUUCAAUUAGGAUUUUAAAUUAUGAUACAAAAUCUGGAUUUUAUAUUAUGUUUUAAAAUUCGAUGGUAUUCAAUUGGAAUUUAUUUGAAAUUAAUUAAAAUAUGAUGGUAUUCUAAUGUUGAUUGAUUUAUUUGGGAUUCGGUGUAUUCUAAGAUAUUCAAAAUCCCAUUAGCAUUGUGCUUAAAUCCUAAAAUCCUAAAGACUCCAUCAACUAUGCGAAAUUUGUCAAAAAUCCGCAUAAAAUAAAAAUCAGAUGCAAUUCAUUAAAAUCCAUAAACUAUAUGAAAUCCAUCAAAUCCCAUCAAUCAAAGUUGAACAGGACAUAUGCAUCGUGAGAUGUGAGAUGUAUGUCCAUAUACAGGGGAGAGUGGGUGCGGGUUCGGUGCGGUUUUGGAUAAAACCGCAACCGGAACCGCAUGCCUUCGGUUUUAAAACUCAAAAACCGCAACCUCAUCCUCGGUUUCGGUUUCAAAACCUCGGGUUCGGUUUAUAUCGGUUACAUGAAUAAUCAAAACUCAACUAAAAAUUAUACAUCAAUCCAAAGUUUAAACAAACGAAAAGCAUAAAAAACUCAAAAUUUAAACAACCGGGAAGCAUAAAAUCUGAACCAGCCAAAUUGCAAGACCUGAAUCUAAUUCAGUCAUUAUAAAACUCUAUUAUAAAACCCGUUGAACCUUAUUUUUUACUUAACAGAUCAAGAGGUUGUCAGUAUAGAACACUAUGCAAAAGUGGAAAGUCGAAACAAAGUGCAGACAAUAACAUACUCAUAAUGAAUAACCCCUUUGCAGUAAACAUUUCCUAACUUAACAACACAUAUCAAGUUAUGUGUUUCGGAUUCGGUUUAUAAGUUUUCGGUUUUGGUUUCGGUUCGGGUUUAAACGGUUCGGAUUUUAGCGGUUUAUAGCUGUUUCGGUUUCGGAUUUAUUCAGUUUUUUGCUCACCCCUGUUUAUACAAGAUUAAAUAGCAUUAUGAUCAUGAUUCACUAAGAGGGAACGCUCUUUAACUUUACAAAACAGAUUGACCAACAUUCAAAGCUGAACAAAACAUAAACAACACGAACCGAAAUUCAGACAUGAAUAUCGUAAGUAUGUAGAAACGUAAUUUCGACAUAAAUAUAAUUUGAAGUAACUCCUUGAGAAUAUUGCUGGGGCAAAGUAGAGUAAGAUUUCGUACCUUGUUCUACGAUCACCCUUGAUGUUUAUAGAUCCUCAAACUAACCUGAUGCAAAAAUCUAGGUUAAACAAAUUAUAUACUUAUAUAUAAUAAGCGUAAGGGAGAUAAUUUGGUCGCAUGGUCCUCUGGUCCAAAAGCUUAUCAUUCGUUGGAUCUUAUAUUGAACAAAUAAGCACCGUUAGAUCGAAACAAAAUUAAAUUCUGUUCUAGAAGGCAACUGAUAUCUACUUGUAUGUUUAUAAUUCCUUUUCUGAAUCCAAAACAAAUUCUGUCUUUCACAUGUAUAUGAUUUUUUUUAAUCCUAAAUAAAUAUUUCCUACCAGUUUUAUCCGUAGAAUCAUAUAAAUCUCACCGUCACAAUUUUUUUAUAAUAUAUUUUAAAAUUAAUAAGCCGGAUUUAUGUGAGGAACAGAUACAAAAACUUUUUCUUAAUCCAAAAUAGAUUCUACCUUCUUAUUGCAUAUUUAUGAUUUUUUUUCUUAAUUCAAAACAAAUUCUGUUUAUUAAUUUUAAUUUAGAACCAUAUAAAUUUUUUGAAAAAUAUUUAAAUCACAUUAUAAUAAUUUUAAUAUAAAAUACAUUUAUUAAUUUAAUGUAAUAGGAGUUGUCAUAACGUAUUCCACUCAAAAUAUAUUAAAAUUUAAUAGAUAAAAUUUAAUACUUUGGCAUGAUACAUAAGAGAAAAGGAAUUGUUUGAUUAAAAUAAUUUAUUUGAAACCAUUAAUGGCUGUGAUGAUGUAUUUACCAAAGUUCUAACUUACAAACAAAUCAUAAUUUCGAAUUUUUUUAUUGAAAAUUUUAAUUUAUUAUUUAUAAAUUAAAUUUUUUCACACCAUUUAAAAUAUAUUUAAAAAAUUUAUAAAUAAUUAAAAAGCUCCCGUGCCUUGCACGGGCUAUAAGCUAGUAUAUAUAUAUACUAGCAUCACGAUUCACGGGCUCUCCAGUAAUAUUGGGAUCCCCUACUUGCAUAAUAGAAAUCGGACAACGGUAUAUAUUUGAAAAUUGAUUAUAUAAAUAAAAAAUAAUUUUACUUAUUUGAUUUUCUCUGUUAGAAAAGCUUAUUAGAAGUAAUCAUGUUAAAUGGUAUUUGAUAUAUAUUAACAAUUUAGGCGCCGUUUGGCUUAGUUUAAAAUAAUGCUUAAAUUAAAAAAGUAGAUUAGAAGUGAGAAGUUUGUUUAAAUUUAUAAGUUAUUAUAAGUAUUUGGAUAGCGUGAAUUAUAAGUUAUUUAAGUGUUUGAAUAACUGAACUUAUAAGUUGGUAUAGUUUGGUAAUUUUGUAAUAAAAUAAUUUAUUCUUUUUUAAAAAAAAUUAUAAUAAUAAAAGACUUUUUAUUGUUAAUACAUGAAAUUUCUGCGUAUUAAAAGAAAAAAUUAAUAACUGUAAAUACCCCAAAGUUUGUUUUGCUUCAUUCUACAAUCCUCUAGUCCUAAACAGAACAGCUUUGCUGGGGGCUAUGUUUCUGCAAUUUGCUUGCUCGUCAGUUACAGUGUGUUUGCUCGUUUACUCUUAAAAAGAAGCAGAAGCCAAGUCUCAAAAAGAAGAUAAAUUUUUUAGCUUUUUUGUUGGACUUCUUUCAGCUUAAUUAAGUAAUUCAUUUGGUUUGCCAAACGCACAAGGGAAAAAAGAGGAAGUGAACUUCUGAACUUUUAAACCCAGAAGUUUCAUUCCCAACACCCACUUAAUAUUUAUAAUCAUAUAGUAUUUAAUAUAAAUAGCGAACAUUCGAAUUUAAUAUUUAUGAUCAUACAUUCACUUGUUAUAAAUACCUAACAUUACUAGUUUAUGUUUUAUCUUUUCAACUAUAAAUAGUCAAAUUUAAUAUUUCUGAUCGCACAUGCAAAUACUAAUAGUGAAAAAUUUAACAUGUGAAUUGUGAUUAGUCUAUACUUUAUUUCUUUAAUUAUAAGAAUUCGUUGCAGCAUGGGCUAAUGAAGCAUAGGGUCCCAAAUUGUGUUCAUGCUAUGAAUCUUGUUUUGGCAUCCAUUAUUAUAACUGCAAUUAAUAAUAUCUCAAAUAUUUCAUCUGAAAAAUAUGAUUUGAAAUAUAAUUUUUUAAUAGUACAUCGUUUAAAAUUUAUAAAUUUGACAAAAGCAAUACAUCAUGUAACGUUUACUCUUUUUUUAACCCAAAUCUAUGAAAAAAAUAUACAAACCCCGAAAAUUUUGACAUAAAUCGGACAUUUGAAUUCCAAAUCCAUAUAACAUAUCACUUAACCGUUAACGCUAUAUUAUAUAGCAGUUUAUUUUUGUAACAUGACAUGAAGUCUAAUAUGAUAUAUAGCAUCAUAUUUUUUAUUUAGGAUAUUUGAACUUAAAUCAUGAUAUUUAUGACUUUUAUCUCCAACUUAGGAUGCUUGCUCUUAUUCAACAUUGAACAAAAAAAAGGGGGAAACAGAGCAUUAUGUAAUCACAGAUGUUCAAACAUCAGAGUUUUCACGGAAUGGUGGUUGAACUCAAAUCGGUGAUAUUUAGAGCAUUUCAACUCAAAUGGUGAUAUUUAUGACCUUUUCUCUAAUUUAGGAUGGCUGCUCUUAUUGAACAAAAAAAAAAGGGAAAAACAGAGCAUUAUGUAAUCACAAAUGUUCAAACAUCAGAGUUGGUUGAUUUCUUUCCUACAUACAAGCUAUAUAACAAUUUCACAUGAAAACAGAAGAUGGCCACACCAAUGCCAUUCUGAUGUUCACUCCUAUAAGACUGUUCCAGUGUCAUGUUUCACCGUUUUAUACUGAUGUGGUGCUUAUUUCCCAACUCAUUUUUUCUUUGUAAAUCAAUAUAUAUGGUGUAUUCAUUAUCAAACAAAACUUCAAGCAAAGUUAUCACCUCAUGAGUCGAACGUGGAUAAAUGAUAAACUACAGUGACCCUUACGGAGGUUUCAAGGUUUCCAAGCAGCUGGUGGUGGCGGUGGGAGGGGAAACAUGGGUGGAACUGCAGAGAACAUGGUGUUCUUGUCAAUGAGCGUACUUUUACCACCUGAUAAAGCCACUAGGGCAGCGACUAAACCAGCAUUGCCUGCAAUAGUUGGUUCUGUGUAAUUAUAGUUUGUACGCUUGUCGUGGAAACCGUCAUGCCUGUCAGGGCCAGCAACCAUAGCCCCGACAAGAGUAUUAGGAUUUGGCUUUGUAGUGUCUCUCCAUUUCCAUCCUCCUUUGCAGUUGUAUUUGACCUUGUUUUUAGGAAUGGAUGCACCUCUAUGGUGGACUUGUUUCGGAUAGUGAGUGCCGAAUCCCACAAGAUAACUCAUCUUUCUAGGAUUUUUACCAAGAACAUAGUCGAUCUGCCAAAACCCCACAAACGAUCAGUUAUUUGUCACAAUUUAUUAUCUUAAUCCGAUUACUAGGGGUAUUCUAAAAAUAAAGAAUUUGCAUGUCUCUAUAACUAAAGUUGGAUAGUAUCAGAGAAAGUCUAACAUACCUGGGUCUGAGCAAAUGAACGGAGGAUAUCAGUUGAGUAGAAAUUUGGUCCACAGUACCAUCCAGGUGUAUCCGCAGCAUCCAUAUAGUCACUAAAUAAUGUAGCCAAAAAAGCAGCAUUGACAACAUACUGAAGAGGCUGUGGCCUUCCAUGAUUUAACUGGAUCAACCCUCCUGAAUCGUUGCUAAUAAACAUUAGAUGCCGAUUUAUGUUGUAGCGGGAAACACUAUGUUGUAUAUAAGUUGAUAUAGAGAGUAUUAAAAAUAUUGCUGUGAAGUCACCACACCUUUUGUUCUGUUGAAGCUAGUGAAAAAAGGAAGGAAUGAGCACAUGUAUAUGCUGGUCUGGUUAUGAAAUGUCUUUAAAGCUUCUUCAUAAGGAUACCCAGGGCUCAAGAACAAUCUCAAACGUGUUAAAAGAACCUAAGGGCAAAGAAAGGCAUCAGAUCAGUAGUUUCUUUAAAAUGGUAUUUGCGAAAGAAUCAUCUAAAAUCUGCAAAACGGCAUAUCUGAGAAGUUAUGCAGAUAAGUUUUGACACUUUACCCGUUGUGCAUUAUAUCAACUUUAAUGAGAAGAGAUAAUUCAAACCAUCUUAUACGUUUCAUCUAAUUAUCUCCUCAGGAAUACCAAUGUACGUAGCAUCUACAAAUCUAAAUUUCUAAGCAAGUAGUCAUAUAGAUCUGCUGGAACCUGAAUGACACACAACCUCAUGCCAUAAUGAUCAGUGUAUGAUACAGAACAUGUAGUUCAUAACCCUGUAACGAGGAACAUAAGUCCUUCAACUUAAAUGCACUGUGUAAAGCUUAAAUAUAUAUAAGCAAACUAAAAAGCUUAAGAAAGAAUGUAGAGAAAUAUGAUGCAUUUUAUUGGCGGUAACAGUGCUCAGAAAUUAAAAAACGAUUAGUAGAUUUUAAUUCUUCUUUUCAAGAUGUAAAUGCCUGUAUAGGGUUAGAAACCUAAUAGAUUAACCGUAGAGCUUAGGAACCUAACAUUAAAUAUCAACCACUACUCCAAAUAGCAGAGCAUCAACAAUGUAGUAGUACAUCACACAAUGAACUUGUCAAUUAUGCAGCAAGAGGAAGUUUCAGAGCAAAAUACCAAGACUAACAAAACUUACUUGAGCUCCUGCAAGCUUGUUAUCCCAACUAAGUACACCAUAAUCUUGGCCUCCCCAAAAAGCACCAGCAUGUGUGGCCAUUUUGAUAUUAGUAGAAAGGGAGAGGUAAGAAUUAUUUCCCGUAGCAUAAUACAUCCAUGCACCUCCCCAGACAAACUCAUCCCAAUAGCUAGUGGAGUUAUAGAAAAUUUCAGCCUCCGUACCUACGCUAUACCUGCCACGCUGAUCUCUAGCAAAUUUAAAGAGGGUUUUCGCUCCAUGAACAAGUUUCUCAGAGUAUGCCUUGUUGUCCUUAAAAACAAUAGAUGCUGAAGCCAGAGCAGCUGCCAUCUCUGCUGCAAGGUCUGAGCAACUAUGGCAUUCAGUUACAGGUCGAUCAUAAUCAAUGUCCUCAGGGCGCAUCCAACAAUAAUGAUCAUUUGGACUUGGUCCUCCACUGGUAUCUCCAAUUCCUACCUGUUAUACAUAUUAAUAAUGAACGUAAGUUGCUGAAUAAUAUACUAACAAUUAAAGAACAGCAUUUUUUUGUGUUGGGCCAGCCAUGGAAGACAAUUUUAGAUGCAAAUGACAAUGAUUUUAGAAUGUGAAUAUCUGUAAAUGCCUAGGUAUCCAUCUUAGUGAAACAACUAGAAAGAUGAAGAACAUUUACCUGCAUCACAACGCGAUCUAUGGUAUCAGCAGAAGAAUUAAAAGUUUUUAGAAGAUAAUCAGUUCCCCACUUAAUGACAUCUUUAAUAUGGUUAAGCUCCCCUGCAGCUUCAUAUUUAGCACUGUACUCAAUCACACUCCAACUCAACAUGGUCAUUGCAAAAGAUUGUGGAAAAUUGAAUUUGAUUGCAUCGCCAGCAUCGUAAUAACC
This 14894-nucleotide long non-coding RNA is filed under the name Daucus carota (carrot). RNAcentral's name for it is "long non-coding RNA (DCAR_LNC004226)". The record is from RNAcentral. Lineage: Eukaryota; Viridiplantae; Streptophyta; Magnoliopsida; Apiales; Apiaceae.